This 186-nucleotide small RNA is filed under the name Apteryx owenii (little spotted kiwi). RNAcentral's name for it is "TUC338 (ENSAOWG00000002087.1)". Lineage: Eukaryota; Metazoa; Chordata; Aves; Apterygiformes; Apterygidae. The record is from RNAcentral.
CUGACAGCCUUGAAGACUCAAGCCCUCAAUUUAUUUAUCCGCAGAACAAAUAAAGUGGGAAGAGUGGCAAAGCCCUGCUUCCUGCAUUGCAUUUCCUCUGCCUGCCACACCCCUGACCUGGGGAGACCUUCUCUGAACCAGAGAGAUGGUUGUGCAAUCUUCAGACUCAUUCAAACCUUAUUUCUU